CCCUUAGAUGUUCUGGGCCGCACACGCGCUACACUGAAGGAGGCAGCGUGUACUCCUGGAUCGAAAGAUUUGGGUAACCCGCGAAUCUCCUUCGUGCUAGGGAUUGAGGUUUGCAAUUAUCCUUCAUGAACGAGGAAUUCCCAGUAAGUGCAAGUCAUAAGCUUGCGCUGACUACGUCCCUGCCCUUUGUACACACCGCCCGUCGCUACUACCGAUUGAAUGAUUUAGUGAGGACUUCGGACUGGGACCGAUGCGGCUUUCGGGCUGCGUCGGUAUUCUGGAAAGAUGUCCAAACUGUAUCAUUUAGAGGAAGUAAAAGUCGUAACC
RNAcentral lists this ribosomal RNA (327 nucleotides) under uncultured eukaryote. RNAcentral's name for it is "partial 18S ribosomal RNA". It matches the Rfam family "Eukaryotic small subunit ribosomal RNA", at positions 1470 to 1796 of the family's 1831-position model. The record is from RNAcentral.